GACGAACGCUGGCGGCGUGCCUAAUACAUGCAAGUUGAGCGAUGAAGAUUGGUGCUUGCACCAAUUUGAAGAGCAGCGAACGGGUGAGUAACGCGUGGGGAAUCUGCCUUUGAGCGGGGGACAACAUUUGGAAACGAAUGCUAAUACCGCAUAAUAACUUUAAACAUAAGUUUUAAGUUUGAAAGAUGCAAUUGCAUCACUCAAAGAUGAUCCCGCGUUGUAUUAGCUAGUUGGUGAGGUAAAGGCUCACCAAGGCGAUGAUACAUAGCCGACCUGAGAGGGUGAUCGGCCACAUUGGGACUGAGACACGGCCCAAACUCCUACGGGAGGCAGCAGUAGGGAAUCUUCGGCAAUAGACGGAAGUCUGACCGAGAAACGCCGAGUGAGUGAAGAAGGUUUUCGGAUCGUAAAACUCGGUUGGUAGAGAAGAACGUUGGUGAGAGUGGAAAGCUCAUCAAGUGACGGUAACUACCCAGAAAGGGACGGCUAACUACGUG
This 497-nucleotide ribosomal RNA is filed under the name uncultured bacterium. Its description in RNAcentral is "partial 16S ribosomal RNA". It matches the Rfam family "Bacterial small subunit ribosomal RNA", at positions 28 to 507 of the family's 1533-position model. The record is from RNAcentral.